This 232-nucleotide ribosomal RNA is filed under the name uncultured bacterium. Its description in RNAcentral is "partial 16S ribosomal RNA". It matches the Rfam family "Bacterial small subunit ribosomal RNA", at positions 15 to 231 of the family's 1533-position model. The record is from RNAcentral.
GAUCAUGGCUCAGGAUGAACGCUAGCUACAGGCUUAACACAUGCAAGUCGAGGGGCAGCGGGAUUGAAGCUUGCUUCAAUUGCCGGCGACCGGCGCACGGGUGAGUAACGCGUAUCCAACCUUCCGUACACUCAGGGAUAGCCUUUACGAAAGAAAGAUUAAUACCUGAUGGUAUGAUGAGAUUGCAUGAUAUCAUACUAAUUAAAGUAUUUAGUCGGUAGUACGAGUGGGU